RNAcentral lists this long non-coding RNA (315 nucleotides) under Capsicum annuum. Its description in RNAcentral is "long non-coding RNA (CANN_LNC008207)". The record is from RNAcentral. Lineage: Eukaryota; Viridiplantae; Streptophyta; Magnoliopsida; Solanales; Solanaceae.
GAGUUCAUAGGCAUUCCAAGCUGACAAAAAUAAAAGAGAACAAAUUUAACUUAAGACUUGGAAAAGGUAGACUUUAAACUAGACAAAUAUAAUCAAGAGAUUUUAACUUACAUUGAGGAUUCUAAAACUACUCUUUGUUUGAAGCACCUCCAUUCCAACCAUCUCAGGUCUUUUAUAAGGUGUUCCUCUACCUUUGUUAGCACCAGUGACACUAUGACUAGAAGUAGCAACACCAGCAGCUCCUCUUGCUGUAUCAGCACAACCAACAGCAGUAGUAUUAACUCCUCUACCUCUACCAGUUUCUCUUGUUGUACU